GACGAACGCUGGCGGCGUGCUUAACACAUGCAAGUCGAACGGAAAGGCCCUGCUUUUGUGGGGUGCUCGAGUGGCGAACGGGUGAGUCACACGUGAGUAACCUGCCCUUGACUUUGGGAUAACUUCAGGAAACUGGGGCUAAUACCGGAUAGGAGCUCCUGCUGCAUGGUGGGGGUUGGAAAGUUUCGGCGGUUGGGGAUGGACUCGCGGCUUAUCAGCUUGUUGGUGGGGUAGUGGCUUACCAAGGCUUUGACGGGUAGCCGGCCUGAGAGGGUGACCGGCCACAUUGGGACUGAGAUACGGCCCAGACUCCUACGGGAGGCAGCAGUGGGGAAUAUUGCACAAUGGGAGGAAGCCGGAUGCAGCAACGCCGCGUGCGGGAUGACGGCCUUCGGGUUGUAAACCGCUUUCGCCUGUGACGAAGCGUGAGUGACGGUAAUGGGUAAAGAAGCACCGGCUAACUACGUG
This 468-nucleotide ribosomal RNA is filed under the name uncultured bacterium. RNAcentral's name for it is "partial 16S ribosomal RNA". It matches the Rfam family "Bacterial small subunit ribosomal RNA", at positions 28 to 507 of the family's 1533-position model. The record is from RNAcentral.